RNAcentral lists this ribosomal RNA (253 nucleotides) under uncultured bacterium. RNAcentral's name for it is "partial 16S ribosomal RNA". It matches the Rfam family "Bacterial small subunit ribosomal RNA", at positions 524 to 776 of the family's 1533-position model. The record is from RNAcentral.
UACGUAGGGACCGAGCGUUGUCCGGAUUUAUUGGGCGUAAAGAGCUCGUAGGCGGCCCUUCGCGUCGGAUGUGAAAGCUCAGGGCUCAACCCUGAGAGGCCAUUCGAUACGGGAGGGCUAGAGGUAGGUAGGGGAAAGUGGAAUUCCUGGUGUAGCGGUGAAAUGCGCAGAUAUCAGGAGGAACACCGGUGGCGAAGGCGGCUUUCUGGGCCUUACCUGACGCUGAGGAGCGAAAGCUGGGGGAGCGAACAGG